This 57-nucleotide transfer RNA is filed under the name Nitrospiraceae bacterium. RNAcentral describes it as "tRNA-Met". It matches the Rfam family "tRNA", at positions 1 to 54 of the family's 71-position model. From Rfam's summary of the family: Transfer RNA (tRNA) molecules are approximately 80 nucleotides in length. Their secondary structure includes four short double-helical elements and three loops (D, anti-codon, and T loops). Further hydrogen bonds mediate the characteristic L-shaped molecular structure. tRNAs have two regions of fundamental functional importance: the anti-codon, which is responsible for specific mRNA codon recognition, and the 3' end, to which the tRNAs corresponding amino acid is attached (by aminoacyl-tRNA synthetases). tRNAs cope with the degeneracy of the genetic code in two manners: having more than one tRNA (with a specific anti-codon) for a particular amino acid; and 'wobble' base-pairing, i.e. permitting non-standard base-pairing at the 3rd anti-codon position. The record is from RNAcentral. Lineage: Bacteria; Pseudomonadati; Nitrospirota; Nitrospiria; Nitrospirales; Nitrospiraceae.
GGCGGUGUAGCUCAGUCGGUUAGAGCAUGCGGCUCAUAUCCGCAGUGUCCGGGGUUC